This 343-nucleotide unclassified non-coding RNA is filed under the name Hevea brasiliensis (rubber tree). The record is from RNAcentral. Lineage: Eukaryota; Viridiplantae; Streptophyta; Magnoliopsida; Malpighiales; Euphorbiaceae.
GUAUGCUCUGGUACUAGACACAAAUAGGGAAAAGGCAAGAGUUUGUGUUAUAUCUCCAGUAACAAAGGGGUUGGCUGCUAAGUGACUCGAAUAAGUAAUACGACCAUGACAAAGAUUAAUGUCAUGACAAAGAUCAAAAGCCACUGGACGCAUGUAGUCUUGAAACUCCGAGAAUAGACGUCCAUAGCUCUCGAAGUUGCAUGCCCUGUACUUGCCAGACUAUGCUCAACUGCUUUCUCAGUUGAAUCGAGUAUCUUUUCAGUAUUUUUGAUGGAUUGAUUCAUCAUGAGACUGCUCUCUUUGAGCUGCCGUGCCAAAACAACCAUUUCAUCAGUCAAAUCCU